UACGUAGGGUCCGAGCGUUGUCCGGAUUUAUUGGGCGUAAAGAGCUCGUCGGCGGCUCAGUAAGUCGGAUGUGAAAACUCGGGGCUCAACCCCGAGACGCCAUCCGAUACUGCUGUGGCUUGAGUCUGGUAGGGGAACACGGAAUUCCUGGUGUAGCGGUGAAAUGCGCAGAUAUCAGGAGGAACACCAAUGGCGAAGGCAGUGUUCUGGGCCAGUACUGACGCUGAGGAGCGAAAGCGUGGGUAGCAAACAGG
RNAcentral lists this ribosomal RNA (254 nucleotides) under uncultured bacterium. RNAcentral's name for it is "partial 16S ribosomal RNA". It matches the Rfam family "Bacterial small subunit ribosomal RNA", at positions 524 to 776 of the family's 1533-position model. The record is from RNAcentral.